This 4625-nucleotide long non-coding RNA is filed under the name Equus caballus (horse). Its description in RNAcentral is "lncRNA (ENSECAG00000058385.1)". Lineage: Eukaryota; Metazoa; Chordata; Mammalia; Perissodactyla; Equidae. The record is from RNAcentral.
GCAGUUCACGGGCCGCUCCUGCCCUCUGUCGGCGCCCGGCGGCAGCGCAGCGCGCUCCUGGGCCGGCGGUUCGGCCCCUGGCACCGCGCGCCCGCUGCCCACCGCCGGGCAUCACCGGACCAAGACGUUUCCCACAGCGGGCUGCAAGGCAGGCAAGCCGACCCCCUUGUAAAGACGGCAGGGCAGAGGCUCAGAGAUGGCCAGUGACCUGCCCAGGGGCACACAGCAGGACCACAGGGAGGGACACCAGCUGAGGUUGGGACCCAGGUGUUAAGCACACUUCUGUGAGUCCCACUGGGUUCAAACCCUGGCUCUGCCCCUCAUUGCUGUGUGCCCUGAGACAGGUGACACCUCUCUGGAUCUCAUAAUUCUCAGGGUAAACUGGGGAUGACAGUAAUCCCUCUUCUUAGGAAGAUGUCACUGUUUUCAGCGCAUUCCUGGCACAUAUCCCAGGAGAGCAGGACCUUGCUUGUCUUGGCCACUCGGGUCCUUGGUCUGGCACAGGGCCUGAUAGGAAUGUGUUGACAGAAAGAAUAAAAACGCCGAGUCGAGUGGGACUGCGGACUGGUACAGCCACGCUGGACGACGGUUUGCAGAAGCCUGUCGGCCUCUCCGGCGGCGCUGGGAGGAGCCCUCUUUCUGCCCACUGCACAGAAGAGUAGACUGAGGCUUCGCGAGACGCCCAGCCGGAUGCGCGGGGGGCAGCCAGGAACAGAAGCCGGAGGCCUGCAUGCAGCCCCACCGCCGACCCACCAGAGACGAUUCUCAGGGCCGAGGUGUUGGAGAAUGGCCUGGUUUCUCCCCUUGGGAAGAGGAUGUGCCUUUCGAGACGUCUCAUGUAAAUGGGAUCACACGAUAUGCAGCCGUCGGUGUCUAGCUGCUUCUACUCAGCACAGCGUUUUCAAGGUCCGUCCAUGUAGCACGCAUCAGUACCUCAUUCCUUUUUAUUAUGAUUAUAUUGUGCCAAAUUUAAUGUACUCCAUUUAAUUAUCCCGUGGAAUAAUAUUCCAGGUGGUAUAGCUGCAUACCACACUUUGGUUAUCCAUUCAUCAGUUGUUAAACAUUUGGGUUACUUCCACUUGUUGGCCAUAACUCUAUGUUUAACUUUUUGAGAAACAUCAGAACUGUUUUGCCAAGUGUCUGCCAUAGAGCAUUUAGUGAGCACCUGCUGUAUGCCCCUUUCAUUCUCACCACUACCCCACAAAGCAGGUAUUCAUUUCAUUUCGCUGUGGCACAGAGAGGGUUAUACACUUGCUCCGGGCCUCAUUGGAUCCAAAUCUGUCUGUGCUGUUAAAAGCAGGGCUGCUGUGAUGGGUGUGGGGUCUGGGAAUCAGACACUUGGUCACGUGACCCCUGGGGUACCCGUGGCAUACAGGGGCGUACCCCUUGCGGGUCUGGUGGGCAUAGGAGGAGAAACCUGCACGAAGGGUCUGGAGGCUGCACUCUCCCUGGAGGUGGGCCCAUGGCUCCCAGACAUGGUGGCAGAGAGGGUGGGGAAGGACAUGUGGGCCUCUGGCCGGGGUGGCAACUCUCCCAGCCCUCCUGGGCACCCCUCACCAAGGGACAGGCCGUUCCAAGCUGCCCCAAGGCUCGGCAAGGGUCCAGGAUACUGAUCCAAUUAUUGGUCAAAGGAAUCAAUGGGCGAUGGGGCAGAGCCAGCAGCCGCCGCAGCCAGGGCAUUUCAGGGCGUAAGGGGUGAGGGCGAGGGCCCGAGGCUCUGGCCCAGCAUUUUGGAGGUGAUUGUCCAGCUCUGCAUGGUUCUGCUCAGAGUUCUGGGGAGUCAGCAGGGAUGGGGGGCUGAGACGCCAGCCUGGGAGGGGAGCCCUGGCACUGCCCCCAAGUCUUUGCAGUGGCCCCUGGCCCAGGGGGACAGGUGGAACUGCAGGUCCAGAGGGCAGAACUGACACCCACCAGAGUGUCUCUGAGGGACAGCUGUGGCCGACUGCCAGGCCCCUCUCCCAUGGAGGCCAUGGGCCUGGGCCCUGAAGGCCCUCCCACCCGGGCCCGCCUGCCGGGGUUGAGCUCUCGUCCCAGCAGGGGCUGUUCCCAUGGGUGCCGGGCAUCACCGUCUGCGUGACUGCCCCGAGUUGCUGUUUUCUCUCUGCUGUCGGUCGGGUGGGGUGGUGUGGAGGGAGCUCCCGGUGCCUAGAGGUGUGUAAGAGGAGGCUGGACUUGGAGGGAUGCAGCAGUGGUGAGGCCCAACCCAGCUCCGGGUGAGCCAGGCUCAGAGACCGGAUGUGAUCUGGGUCCUGACCACAUGGUGGCCGCAGGUGGCUGGGGAGGGGUGGUCUGAGGUUCGGAGGGCAGCCCGGCCCCUCCAUCCUGUCAUGAUGGUGAGAUGGGCCGAGGCCACUGGCCCAGGAGGAAUGCACAGCCCCUUGCUCAUAAACCUGCUCUGCCUCCUCCCAGUGUGUGCCAGGAGGUCAUCCAGAGGUCACCUCAGGGUGCGCCAGCACCAGAGGCUGCUCAUCCCCGCGGGGCCCCAUGGCCUCUCAUGGGCCACUGCCUGGCGGGCGGUCCAGAGGUCAGACCCAGCCCAGAGCCGAAGCCCAAACCCCUGGGCGUUCUGGAAGCCCCAAGGAAGCUGCACAGAACAUGGGCUCUGAGUGCUCAAGGCUGCAGUCAAGGUUUCGGAGCUCUCAGACCGGGACACUGGGCCUCCUCCCCGGCCUCCGGUCCGCGGUCCACACGGCUGGCGUCAGGAGCCCCAGCCACGGGGGAGCCUCCGCUUGCACAGGACAGCCUGUGCUCCCUCAGAGGUUGCUCAGGUCAGGGCUCUGAGCUCAGGUGCGGGCCUAGAGGGCAUGGAGGCAGUGAGCAGGCCGCCCCAGUGUGCCCUCAGGGGCGAGUCUGAGGGUGCCACCAGCUCCCAGGGGCCUAGGCGUGGGUGGGCUCAUUGCCCCCCUCCGGCCCUGCUGGCGUUCUGCCCCUCCCCGGACGGGGCAGCCUUUCUGAGUAUGGUCCUCAGGCAGCAGGGCCUGGGCAGGCACCAGGGCUGCGGCUUUCUGGAGCCUGCAUAUGUAGCUGUGCUCGGGGUGCCCCUAUUGAAGCCCACAGAGGGCAGUCUGCGGGGGCCCAGGCCGAAGAAGAGGGGAGCACCUCCUGGGCUCCGGGGUGUGCUUCCCUCCAGGGAAGUCCUCUGUUCCAGGCAGGACUCAGUUAGCUCUGCCCAGGGUGGCAGGAGGGGCCCGGGCCUCUGAAGGACCCACAAGGGAGAGGGAGGUCUGAGGCCCCACUUCUCCCUCAGGGGCUCUCCUGCCACCUCCCGCUGUGGCUACCUGCACAUCAGAGUCCAGGAGGGACUGGGGAGUCACAGCCAGGCUUGGGCCUCCCCCUCCCGCCCUGGAGCAGGGGGUAGAGGGGCUCUGAAAAGUGGCGUGACGCCCUCUGAGCUCCACAGCACAAUCCAACAGCCAGGAGCCCCAGGCCCGGAGGCCCCUCAGAGGCCAGUGACGGGCAUGCAGCAGUCCUCGAGCCUCUGGAGGCUGUCCUCCGGGCGGGCUGAGUGGCCCCUCUCCCACGGAGGCGCCCCGCCCCCAGCCCACCUGCUAGCGUGAGCUCUUCCCAGCAGGGGCUGUUCUCAUGUGUGCAGUGAGGAAGGAAAUUGCAAAUUAAUCUUUAUUUCCAUCUUGGAAGAAAACCUUAAUUCUCUGCAUUGAAAUGAUCCUCGUCAUCCCAGGGAAUCAAUUAUGGGCUUUAAUUGCAGUGUGUCCUGGCCAAUCAGAGCAGGGCAGACCACGCGGCCCCUCUCUCUCCUCCCUUCUGCUUCUGUCUCCACCGCUCCCUCCUCCGGUGCAUUGAACUCUCUGAGUCUCUCUGUAUCUCUUUGUCUCUCUCUCUGCUUCUUUCUCUCUGUCUCUCCUGGUGUCUGUCUCUUUCCCUCUUUCCCUCUCUAUGACCCUGCCCCUCUCUCACUGUGUCUCGGCUGCCCGCCCGGCCAGCACAGAGCUCAGGCAUGAACACCCAGGCCUGAUCAAGCCCUGCGGGGGCUGGCUGGCCCCCAGGCUUCCUCCUGCACUCUGUCUCUUGUCCCAGAGCAGUAGCUUUGAGGGUGGGGGCUGAGGGUGGGAUGAGUUAUAGGCUUGUUCCUGUCCCCUGGGGUCUCUCCUGGGGUCACCCUUCUGCUGCCCCACAUUCCCCCAGAGCCCGCCGUCAUGGACCUGCCGAUCACCAAUAUGUCUCCCUUCCAGGCCAGCGUCCUGCCUGAGCUCUGUGCCUGCGCGUUUGCGUGGGGUCAUGAAGUGGGGUCAGGGCAGUGGUGACCGAAGGAUCUGGGGCCCCAGAGACACCAGGCCUUCAGGGAGGAGCUGCUCUGGGCUGGGGCUCAGGCAGGGGUCCAGGGCAGCCACAGAGGAGCAGCAGGGCCUCACCGACUCAGGACUGACUAGAGACCUGGUCGUCAGGAAAUGAGGGCCAAGCGGCUACAAGCAGAAGGCAACUGCAUGACCCUUCUUCUCGUCCAGGCCUCUGUGCUUGCUUCAGAACCCCUCCCCUUAUUCAUCUUCCAUCUGUGGCUAAACAUCAAUUCAGUCUCUUUGAACAUAAUUAAAACCUAAGAGGUAAGGCCAGAGUGCCCUUGGCCCACCCACCACCACCCUUUCUAGCCCCUUUAGGGCAGCCACUGG